This is an RNA transcript of Osmia bicornis bicornis, 11090 nucleotides long. It is a transcript of the gene named eye-specific diacylglycerol kinase, with no coding region annotated. The transcript is spliced from 12 exons. Lineage: Eukaryota; Metazoa; Arthropoda; Insecta; Hymenoptera; Megachilidae. The record is from RefSeq and is a predicted model, not a curated record.
ACGACAAUCAAUUGAAGGAACUUGUGAGAAAUAGGAUCUGCCGAGUCGACCUCUAUACCAACGAUGACUCGCGUUAUUCUUUGGCUAUUACUCGGAACGUAACAAAAGUAAAAUCAAUCAAACGGUCGAUGAAACGCUUCGCCCUAAAAAUUGUCCUCGACCCAGCAAUCAAACAUCCAACGCGUGUAAAUAAGAAAAAUGCCCGUUGGCUCCGCUAUACAAUUAACGUAUCUCGAUUUCAUUGUAAGAGUUAAGGGUUAAAUUUUGACUGAGAUAAUCCCGAAAAGAGCGAAGGAGAAAAGAAGAAGAAGAAGAAGAAGAAGAAGAAGAGGAGGUUCUACACGUGUUUGCCCUUCCUGCGUCACACACAUUUCCCCGACGGUAGUCGGUCAUGUAGCGCAAUCUCCAAUUCGUCGUCGGUGGUAUCACUCGGUGUUCCUUAUUCGCGUAUGUUGGUGUAAAGGUGCACACAGUGAAAUUGGUCGGAGGGCGCAUGUCUGACCGACGACGGCUAAGAGGGCGCGAGCAAGAGGGUGAAGCAAGGGUUAGAGGGAGACGAGAGCCCCAGUGUUAACCCCCACCUUUGCCUCUCGUGGCAUCCGCCACUGCCGAGCCCUGGUCACUAGUCCGAACAGUCUACCCCUUGUCACGGCACGUACGCGUUAUCUCGUUCCUUCUCUGUUCCUCACCGUUCUUCCUGUUGCGCUUCAAACCUACGGCAUCCACCAACCUUUUCCAUCAGCAGGGAUAAACGCAACGGCUGCUGUCGAGUCGCGUGCACCUCGAUCCGCGUGGAUCCUUUCAUUUUUUUCAUCGCGAAGAAAAUUUGCACAUCGAGACGCGAUGUUUACGUAGCUGAACGGUAGAAGCUGAUCGUGGACUCGCGCCAGACUUGAAGCGUGAAAACGAGUCUGGCGUGCGAAUACAUGAUUCAUUCCGCCGAUUCGAGUGACAGUAGAAGAUCGUGAUCGUUUAUCGUUCGACAAGUGAGAGGAGAGAGAGAGAGGGGAGAAUCAGCGAGGCGGUAAACGGAGAGGUAACUGGAGGCAGGUGAAAUGGAGAUCACCUAAUGGCAGCGUCCUCCGUAAGGCGAUCCUCGUGCACGCGGCACGGAAUUUCACGAGAAGUUACAAUCGAGCGGAUUAUCCGAACAUCGCUGAGAAAUUAAGUUACGGGGCUGGAAAGGCUGGCGAUCGAUGCUGCUAGUCGCUCGAGAGGAGAGUGCCUCAACGAGCAGCGAGUGAGACAGUGGCGAAUGGAUAGAAAGCGAGGUAAAAAAAAAAAAUCUUUCGCGAAAGGUGUUUGACGAUCUCACGUGCGUCGAGGUUCGUGGAGGUCGUCGACGGUGUUCUGGCGAACGGCGACGUUUGACCUUCGACUAUGGUUCGCGCGUCGUUGAGCAACACGCUGGUCGCCGUCGGUCCAUCAACCCCCGAACACUUGGAACAAACUUCUCUUACUUCUCGUUCCACUUCUUCCGAAGCUUUUUAAAGAGAACAUUAAAGAGACACUGUUCGCACUUUCGAACUAACGUCGUUGCGAGAACGUAGGCGUUUUAAUCGUCUUCGAAAUUGAGUGUUGGCGGUAUUAGGACUUAUAGAGAUCCAAGGAUGAUCCAAUUAACUUAGCUGAGUCUGAUUCGUUUGAAUUAUAUCAUCGAAGCUUCGGAGAGAGCAGGUUAUAACGAGGCGAUCCACGUGUUCGAUGUCCAUCCCCGUAUGAGAGAUUAAUCCGCACUCCUAUCUGCUCCAUUCUACGGGUUUAUCAGCCUACGAAUAUUGGUCGUCGAAGGGAAUACGUCGCGAUUAACACGCUCGAUGAUUUAAGGUGGAGGAUUGGAGGGAAACGAACCGUGUUACAUCCUGCCAAUUUCUACGAGACGUUUCAAGACGGAGAUGACUGCUCGUCUUUAAAGGAUUUUCAAUAUUCAAAAGUAUUUUCCAUCAAAAUAUUCAAAGAACUCAGAACUAUCUAGAGUGAAAAAAGAAAAAAUUAAAAGAAAGUGGUCCUUUGUUCUAUGUUUCUAUACACGAGUCACGAGGAAGUAGGAUGGGAUUACAGCCUUAAAGCGAAAAGGGACAUCCUUGAAUAAAGUUCACCUUUUCUUGCGUCGAGGGUGGUGCGUUUAAUUUGAGAUAGUGUGAUCAUUGAACGCGGUGAUGAGAAAAUUCCGUCGCAUAGGGAAAGGAGCUUAAAUUGCAAACGCUGCUGGAUCGAGGACAUAGUUUCCACGUGGCGUCGGAUGCGUCCCGGAUCGGAAUGUAAUUUUAGCGAAUAGAUGAUCGCCUCGGUUCUACAGGGAUUACACAAGGCCUUGUCUCGAACGCUAUUGUGGGAUCAAUGUUAUAGUGAUCUUGAGUAAUCUCGUAUGUUCGAAACAAUGUAAAACAACGACGAAGGUAAUUAAAAGGGACUAAAGAACAGAGGACCUCAUCCUCGCGAGCAACUAACAGUGACUUUAUUGAAAAACUAUCGUUCCUUGUAACGGUUGAACAGUGUUUCCAAGUAUUCAAGUAAUCUUCCAGUAUUAGACAAUCAACGACAUGUCCAGUAUUUAACAAUCAUUGACAGAAGCAACGACGAAGCGUGGUCAAAACCAUCUGCUCGAAGCGUUGAGUAAUCGUAGGAGAAAGCAUGAAAUAAUCGUUCAUCGAAGGGCAACCGGCGACCUGUCAGUUCCCGCGACGAGCUCGAUUACCGAAGCAGAAUAAUCUGGAUAAAUCGAAGGUGUACAAGCUGAGAACGAACGUCGAGGUCACUUAUGAUGGGCUGCAGACCGGCAGCUAAGUGGAAGGUGGCGGAAGGGUGCGGUCGCGGGCAACUCGAGUCGGCUUCCUCCUCGCCGAGGUACACCGAGGUGACCAAGCCCACCAGCGAGACGACGAUCGUUCAGAAACGAGAGGAUCGUGGUUCGAGCAGUAGCGUUGAAACGGACGAGGAAGAGGAAGAGGAAGAGCUGGCCGGAAGGGGAUCACAGCAGUGGACGUCGAGGUACGAUCGGUCGUUCGGUAGAAACGAGAGGAUAUUCAGCAGAUAGCUGCCAAGUGAGAAUGCAGAGAUUGCGCUCGACCUUCAAGAGGUCUCGCACCCCGACGGGAGCGGAAAUGAAGUCGCAGUCUAGCCUGGAGGUACCGAAACAAGUCAGGUCAGCCUCCUUCGACGAGAUCCAAUUGGAGGCUAAAAGACAGGACGAUAUCAGAGACGCUAGAUCAACCAGGACCACCUCAUCCUCGUCUUCCUCUUGUUCGCCGGCGAGGUCGCAGGAUUCCUCGCGAGGAAGACGAGCCUCGACGCUCAGAGUGCCGCAGUUGCAAAGCGGACAACGAUCCAAGAGUUUCGACGUCUGCGAGAGAAGUUACGGCUCGUCUUCCAGUCAGCAAUCUCUGGGCAGCAUUCGACGCCCGGAGACGCCAACGAUCCAAGUAUCGGGCUGCUAUCACUGUGCCUGCGUCGAAGAGUAUAAGAAUCUCUAUUCGAGCCGAGACGAGGAGGAGCCUUCCUCGAGGGAAGACGAAGAGGUGGACGAAGACGAGGACACCUCCGACGACGAGGAUUCCGAGUUGAUCGACAGAAGCGAAGGUAGCCCCGAGAUCAGGGUCACUUUGACCACGUUCACCGAGAAAGGCGCCGAUGUCACGGACACGGUACCGGAAGUUGUGUCCCCUGUGGUGCCAGAGAUCGUUCCCGAGGUCGCGGGAGAAGAUACGGACACCAGUGCGGUGAGAGGUGAAUUAUUCCCGGAAAGACAACGCAGAAGAUCGCUCGCCUCGCCGAAACUUGCUCGUCAAGAGGCGCUUACUUCUUACCCCAUCGACCUACCAACGGUGGUCAGCUCGACCGAGGACGAAGAGAAACUCGAGGACGACGAAGACGACGAAGAGGUGGCUAACGUCGAAACCAACAAGUGCAAGAUCGUCGUCAGAGAUAUAUUUCUAACUGUUCCCGAGUUGAAACGGGAUCGUGCCGCUUCCGUGGACUCUUGCUUUAAUAACAAGAACGGAAACGGAGGAGAUGCGGAUACAUUGGCCGUUCCUCAACAGAAUAUACGAUCGAAGAGCGUCGAUAUCGUUCUGCCUACAGACGCGCAGACGAGGUACACGGCUCUACUUCCUGGCACCGAGGCUCGACCUCCAAGAGGAGGGAGAGAAGAGGGUGGAACGAGUGGCGGCCACCGUGAACCCCGAUCAACUCCCGAUUGGGGUCCUGGUGCACUAAAUGGGGAACAUCUUUGGGUACCAACCUCGGCUUCUGGUGAUUUUUGUUACGUCAACGACUGCUCGAAACACGGAGCCCGGAUGAAAUGUGCGGCAUGUCGCGUGGUGGCUCACACGGUGUGCGCGACGAGUUUAAAUUUCGCGUGUAAAUCGAGCUUCCGGGACGUGGGCGUCCGGCAGUAUCGCGAGCAACCGAACACUCAACACCACUGGGUCCAUCGUCGUUCGCAAAAAGGGAAAUGCGGGAACUGUGGCAAGUCUUUCCAAUCGAAGCUGAGCUUCACCUCGAAGGAGAUUGUCGCGGUGAAUUGCAGUUGGUGCAAACGUGCCUACCACAACAAGGAAGCGUGCUUCAACGUGCAGAAAAUCGGUGAAAAUUGUGAACUUGGUGUCCAUUCUUCCAUCAUCGUUCCACCCUCUUGGAUCGUCAAGUUGCCCAGGAAAGGUAGUUUCAAGAGCAGCCUCAGGAAAUCGCCGAGGAAAAAGAAAUCUGGCGGUGGAGGAAGCACCGGAUCCAGAAAGAAAUCGAAGGAAAAAGAUAAAGAGAAGGAUCAGGAUCAAGGGAAAUUGUGGGUGGUCAAACCUAUACCUACGGCAUCCGUGAAACCGGUGCUGGUUUUCAUUAACCCGAAAUCUGGAGGAAAUCAGGGUGCCAAAUUGUUGCAGAAAUUCCAGUGGCUGUUGAAUCCUAGACAGGUGUUCGAUCUGACGCAGGGUGGACCCAAAAUGGGGCUAGAAUUGUUCAAAAAAGUUCCUAAUCUACGAGUUCUCGCGUGUGGUGGUGACGGUACAGUUGGUUGGGUGCUAUCGAUCCUAGAUCAGAUCGGUGCAUCUCCUCCACCGGCCGUCGGGGUACUCCCUCUUGGAACCGGAAACGAUCUGGCAAGGGCGUUAGGUUGGGGCGGUGGUUACACGGACGAGCCAAUCGGGAAAAUCUUAACUAACAUCGGUGAGAGUGACACCACGUUGUUGGAUAGGUGGGAACUGAUAGUCGAAAGAAAUCCGGAUGCCCAGGGCGACGACGAUAACGGCAAGGGCAAAGAGAAUCUACCUCUGAACGUCGUUAAUAAUUACUAUUCCCUUGGAGUAGAUGCUCACAUCGCUCUUGAGUUUCACGAGGCUCGAGAGGCGCAUCCAGAAAAGUUCAACUCGCGAUUACGAAACAAGAUGUUCUACGGUCAGAUGGGUGGCAAGGAUCUGGUCUUGCGGAAAUGGAAGGACCUCUCGGAAUUCGUCACGUUGGAAUGCGAUGGCCAGGAUGUGACGCCAAAAUUGAAGGAACAUCGCGUCCAUGCCAUUGUAUUUCUGAACAUCGCCUCGUACGGUGGCGGGACACAUCCUUGGGGCGCUGCUAGUGGAACCAAGGAACCAUCGACCGAGGAUGGGAUAAUAGAGGUCGUUGGUUUGACGACGUACCAACUUCCGCUUCUUCAAGCAGGGGGUCAUGGUACCUGUAUUGCUCAAUGUAGCACAGCUAAACUGGUUACUACGAAAACCAUUCCAAUGCAGGUUGACGGAGAGGCUUGCCGAUUGUUGCCAUCUAUUAUAAAUAUGAAAUUAUUAAACAAAGCAACGAUGCUGGCAAAAAGGAGGAACGCUAGCAAGCCGCCGCAGGACGUGAAACUGGAUAGAUUAAACUUGCCUGUAAUGAAAAUAAAAAUGUCAGAUUACGAGAAGUAUCAUCACGAUAAAGACAUGUUGAAGAACGCCGCGUCGACGUGGAUCGCUGAUCCACUCGAUCUCGAUGCCACCACGGACCUCGAAUCCUUGAGGACGAUCCUGGCGAAAGAUCAUAAUAUGGACACUUGUUGCUUCCUUGACUCGUGUACCGCGGAACGGUUCUUCAGGAUCGACAGGGCUCAAGAACAGUUGCAUUACGUGACCGAUGUUGCUGUCGAGGUAGUCUACGUUCUCGAAGAGACUGCGAACAAUCAGUCAACCGAACCUGAGGGAAAGGUAUCUGCCAGCCAGGAACCUGAAACUGCUCAUCCCUCUCCGAGCGAAGAACGGCCAAAAUCAAAUGCAGCCAUGACACAAGAGCAGCCUAAAAGCGAAUCGAAGGCGCAACCAUCACCGGUACCAGAGAGCGAAACGGCUGAGAAACCGGCUGAGGAUACGAAGACGCAAGCCGAGACUCAAGACACCGCCAAGUGUCAGGGAUCAAUGAAGAAAAACAUGGCACGCGACGAACCGCAGAACACGAAGAAAGAGGAAAAGGCUAACGAAGGAAAAGUAUCGAGGGACUCUGUAAAGGAAAGCGGUUCCUCCAAAUCGAUCUCUGUGACGACUGUCGCUCAGUCGCAACAUCAGGCACCACCAACAUUCAUUAGUCCACGAGAUAGACUUUUCGGUUUGAGUUCUGAGGUCCACACCUUUAACACGAGAUUACUGGAGAAAACCAGCGACGGUAUUUUGAAAACUGCAAAGCUCGGCAAUAUCCAGGCUCUAAAGGAACUCCAUGAGAGGGGAUAUUCCCUUAUGUGCAUCGACGCCACUGGACAAACUGCUCUUCACCUGGCAUCGAGAUAUGGUCACAAGGAUAUUGUCAGAUAUCUCAUCGCUUGCGCACCAUCGAGCAUUCUGAACAUGAUCGACAACGACAAAGGUCAAACCGCUUUACACAAAGCGGCUCAAUAUAAACGUCGUUCCGUUUGCUGCAUGCUAGUAGCCGGCGGUGCUAAUUUAACUAUCAAGGAUCGGCAAGGUAACACACCUCGCGAUCUUGCUCUGCAAGCAGAGGAUCGUGAACUCGCAGCAUAUUUAUACAGUCAAGAGCAGUUCCAGCUGACAACGGAAGAAAUGGAGAAUGCCCUUUGACCUACGGCCGUAAUCGGUAGAGCCUGAGCCGACCCUACGUAGACCAUCGAUCUAGGUUCAACGAUCAUCAUCAACGACGAUCUUUCUUUUCUGCGGCGAUCUAGUGUAAGUUGCACGUGAUAAAUUGAUAUUUUUUCUUCGACAGUUGAAGGUGACACCGGAUACUUUUCAAUUUUCCUCGUCGAGCGAAUCGAGAUCACUGUCAACCAACCUUGUAAAUUAAUAUCACGCAUUCUACAUAGAGAUAAUUAAUACGGUAUCACACGUACUUCGUAUAGAAUUAGGUGUUCUCGUUCGAACCACGAGCCUGUAAACACGUAUGUGUAUACUGUUUCUUUUUUUUUCAAUCGUAUCUUGUAAAUGCAACAAGGCGUUCUAUCUGUCGAGCCUUGCUUUAAUCGACGAUGACAAGGAAAGGAGAUAUGUCGUUGAACAGUAUCGGGAAUCGGUGAUAAAAACACUUUUUGCUCAUCCAUUGGGAGUUUAAGGGUGUGGAAUUGAGAAGAAAAAACCCGUAACCGAAUUAGUGAGAGACUAGGAUCAAAGGUGAAUGAUAAUCGGAUAUUAAUCGCUGUAAUCGUAAAGACUAAUCUUCACGGUAUUUGUUUGUAUGAUUUUUAUUUUAUAUUUUUCUACGUUCCAUUUCUAGCUACCACUUCGGCGAACAUAUACAUCGUAUACAUAUUAUAAUAAUAUAUCCUUAUCGAUUUACAAUUAGCAUUGUUCUUAGUAGAGCGAUUUUUACAUUUUUCUUCGCAAUCGGUUAAGAACGCGAAAUUAGCGAUAGUAGUGUUCAGAGUUGGACAGAAUUUUAUUAAAAGAGAAAAAGAUUGCUGGGAUCGUUGAUUCGAUCGAGUUGCGUUGUUACACCGUAUUCAAUACGUCUGCUCGUUAUCUAUCAAUUGUUAGGGUAGAUUUGAUCGAUUAGGAGGAAAAAUUCUAUCCGACUCUGUUCGGUAUUUCAAGAGUCUUUAUUCCUCUCUCCCGUGUUGAAUUUUUCUCUUCGCUUGUUCUAGGGAUACCUCAUCGUAUCGGAUAACACAUAUCUUUUUUGUAUAAGUGUCGCGUUAAUAUACAUACGUAUAUAUAUAUAUACAUAUAUUUUCUACGUAUGUUAAUACUGAUACAUAUUUAUUGUCCUUACGAUACAAAAGUUUCCUCGCGAUACUGUUUUUCUUGUCCGUGAACGUUCGUCAAACAUCUUAUCGCUGCUUCGAUACUCGCAGUGUAAAAUUUAAAUUUAAACAAACGAAAUCGUUGAAUUAUUGAAAAAAAAAGAUAUUAUAGAACGAGUGUUCGAAGGACGUUUGUACGUUCGUUGAACAAAGUUUCGAUGCCUGUCGAAUGGGAUCAGCGCGAUGCAAUUAAUUGAAAAAUAUAUUCUUAAUUACUUCACAGAUUUUUCAAUUGUGUGAUAGGUAGAUAGAAUCAGGGCAUCAAGGAGAAUCGUGCCAAUCGAUGGACAAGUAUAAGGGAGCUUAGGUCGCGUUUUCACGACUCUCCGUGACAUUUAUCCUCGUAACAUCGAUGGUCAAUUUGUUCGUGUAAACUUGUAUAAAUGUAUUUUUACCGAGACUAUACUCAUCGAUCCUCGUAAGUGAAUUUAAUGAACUUUACUGUAAGGUUACGUUGCACGCGGAUUUACAUGUAUACCGUAGUCCUCUAGUUUUCUAUUGUUCCUCUAUUUUGGACCACUCGUCUUCGAACGGAAUAAAACGCGACCAAUUCAAGAUUUCCCUUGAACUUUCUAGAGUUAAUCUUAGCCUUUAAUUCUCGUCGAGAUUUUAAAUGAACGCGACUUUCGUUCUCACUUCCUUCCUUUUUCCAGGGACUUUUCAAAAGAGUGGUCGACAAUCAUAUUCGCGAUCCUUCUAUAAACUUUCCUUGAAAACCACCGAAAUUCUGAGAUCUGAAAAAUUAUUACAAAUAAGUUUUAAAGAAUUAUUUGCAACCAAGGUGAAAAAAUUGAAUUUUAAUAAUUUUUUUGGAAGAGGGAAAGGUGAGAACAAAAAAUUUUCUCUUCGAUCACACGUUUGAUCGACAAAUCCUGUUUUCUGUUCUUUCCUCUUCGUCGUCGAUCACAGGACCGUGUGCCUAUCACUCGGUUAUAGUAUUAAUCGUUAGGUGAUAAUAAUCAAUUAGAGUGGAGUUUAGGACCGAAUCGAAUCGCGAACACUUAUAAAUCGAUUGUAUCUGUUCCUGUCUCGAUUUCAGAUCCAACGAUAAAAUAAGUAUUGUUCGGCAUCGUUGACUGGAUUAACCAAGCUCGUAUCCGGUGAUUUGAAUGCCCCUGCGAUCCGACAUUGCCGUUUAACGCGUGAUAUCGUUGUUUAGUUCAAGAAUGGACGUUUCCAAGUUUCUAAUUGUAAGAAUACCGACAAGCUGGUCUUGUUCAGAAGGUUGAUUCGCGGCAGCUUAAAUGGGCUCAAACGAUGUGUAGGUUGGAUAAAUGAAAGACCAUUGAACUAUUUCUAAAAGUAACAAUUGUUAAAUUGUUGAUUUUAAAGAAAGGGUCUCGAAGAACUUUCACACCGAAGAAUAUGUUUGAAGACUGAUGAGUUAAACUUUAAUGAGUCGGAUCGUUAAAUUCGCGGAAACUUUGACCACUUCGAAAGAAAAGAUGGCAAAUUAAAAUUAAUUAUUUCUUGUUGGUACACCCUUUAGAAAUAGAUGUAACUGUUAUCUAUUAACGCUUAAAUGGCUAAUGGUUCUCGCAACUACGAUGCUUAAUUUUUAUUUCACCGUUACAAGAAUCAUAGAUUCCAUGAAAUAAGAUUAAAAAUGUCCACCGGCUGCAAUCAACGUGUUAAAAUAUCUGUACCCUCUUCUGCGCUGAAAUAAAACAUCCCCGGUAGCCUAAUUAUCAAACGGAUACAUUUGAAAACAAUGUAAUCCGGUAUGAUUUAUAAAUGAACAAAGUUUCAGUAGACACCUCUCUGCGAGCGUUCAACAUAGUUCGAAAGAACAUAGAUAAGUAAACGAACAAGAAGACAAAGCGACGAGAGUUGAGUACGAGCACGUGUGUGUGUGUGUGUGUGUGUGUGUGCCUGUGCGUCUCUGUAUGUGUGUGAAAGAGAGCAAAGAGUUUCCCAAGAGAGGAAAAAUAAACACAGUAUUGCCUUUCUCAGGGACGCGGCCUCGGCCCGUGAGUUUCAUCUUAAGUUUUUAGAGCAAUAAAUCAGCGACAAUCAUGGCGUUUCGGGCCGAGAUCGCGUCGCUAUCACUUUUCGUCUGUCCAUUUGCGUUCACUUCUUUCCUCUCCGCUUAAAUCGUCGCGUCGACGACGAAAAAAACCAUCGUGUACUUCGCCUUCAUGGACCUUCCAUGUUCUUUCAGUCCAGGUUCACGGCACGUUGUUGGCGACCGGUGGCCUUUGUUACGAGACCACCGCCUUUCUUUCGGUUCGAAACUGUAUUGAAAAGCUUGAAAAUACGGGUUAGCGAACCAUGGAAACGUUCAAUUGAUUCGCGUUACGAUUUUAGCCAUUAAGUCGGUUAACUGGUAAUUUAGACUGCAGCCGAAUGGGAAACAAAAGGGCCACUGUUAUCGCUAGCUAUGUAUUGUGAACGUCGACCUAAAUACACCGAUUUUCCAAUCGGUAACAAGCCGAGCUUAUUCGGUUCGCGUUUCGUUGCCGCGAAAGUUGGGUGGUCUGUUCUAUUCUAUUUUCUGUCUUUGUCAAAUACAGCUGCUUGGCGGGUUCGUUUUCCACCCCUGCAAGCUCGUUUCAGACGAUUUCACGCUACGGGUUGCUUCGAUUCAACCCUUUUUAUUGUUAGUUGCAAAUAUAAUCUACGUAGGCUGUGAUCUUGACGAUUAAAUAUAUGUUGUUCACAACGUGUGCAGAUUUCUAUCGGGUCGGAAUCUCGUCAAGUGUUUGUAUUUGGUGAUCGACUUGGACACGAACCAACAUUAUUACAGGAACGAUCGUGUAAUUGUAAUUACUUCUUCGAUUACCGCUAUUUUCUGAGUCUAUGUAACUUGUACGAGUAACUUCUGAUUAGAAGGAUGUAUCAAGCGAUUACUUUAUAAGUAAUAAAAAGAUUUCUGAUUCUCGAA